Microcebus murinus (gray mouse lemur) is the source of this 78-nucleotide microRNA precursor. Ensembl annotates it as microRNA 132. Its record names the gene MIR132. Lineage: Eukaryota; Metazoa; Chordata; Mammalia; Primates; Cheirogaleidae. The record is from Ensembl.
CCGCCCCCGCGUCUCCAGGGCAACCGUGGCUUUCGAUUGUUACUGUGGGAACCGGAGGUAACAGUCUACAGCCAUGGU